UCGAAACGUAAGGUCUGGGAGGGAAGGGGGGAGCGUCGACGGCCCGAGACUGUCGCCCGCGUGUGCACGUCCAUCGCCGUUGCUCUCCUCGACCCUUUCGAGGCUUCGACCUUCUUGACACCUGUGUGCACUCGCUGUAGGUCCUUCGGGAUCUACGUCUCCUUUCGACUAGCAUGUCCAUAGAACGUAUUCGCCGUGUCCCGGCCUCGACCCUCAGGGUCCCGCGUCGGCGACCGCAAAACCUAUUA
RNAcentral lists this unclassified non-coding RNA (248 nucleotides) under uncultured Scleroderma. Its description in RNAcentral is "sequence contains ITS1". The record is from RNAcentral. Lineage: Eukaryota; Fungi; Basidiomycota; Agaricomycetes; Boletales; Sclerodermataceae.